UGGGGAAUAUUGCACAAUGGGGGAAACCCUGAUGCAUCGACGCCGCGUGAGCGAAGAAGGCUUUCGAGUCGUAAAGCUCUGUCCUAUGAGAAGAUAAUGACGGUAUCAUAGGAGGAAGCCCUGGCUAAAUACGUGCCAGCAGCCGCGGUAAUACGUAUGGGGCGAGCGUUGUCCGGAAUUAUUGGGCGUAAAGGGUACGUAGGUGGUUUUUUAAGUCAGGUGUCAAAGCGUGGAGCUUAACUCCAUUAAGCACUUGAAACUGAAAGACUUGAGUGAAGGAGAGGAAGGUGGAAUUCCUAGUGUAGCGGUGAAAUGCGUAGAUAUUAGGAGGAAUACCGGUGGCGAAGGCGACUUUCUGGACUUUUACUGACGCUCAGGUACGAAAGCGUGGGGAGCAAACAGG
This 403-nucleotide ribosomal RNA is filed under the name Verrucomicrobiota bacterium. Its description in RNAcentral is "Verrucomicrobia bacterium partial 16S ribosomal RNA". It matches the Rfam family "Bacterial small subunit ribosomal RNA", at positions 355 to 776 of the family's 1533-position model. Lineage: Bacteria; Pseudomonadati; Verrucomicrobiota. The record is from RNAcentral.